AUGUCUGGAGCGCGAGUUGCACAUUAUUCAACAGCGCCCCCUCGGGUCACACUUUUCGGUGGGUCGCAGAAUUCGGCGUAACAACGGGACUCACUGCACGAAGAUGUGACACGUUCGGCUCAGCUGCACUUGGAGGUUAUGGGGAAGAGCAUAUUUGUGGCUGAUCUCAAUGCUGUUCCGACUUGGCGAUAUCCAACAGCAUGUGACCCACUUUCAAGUUUACCUGAUGAUGUUUACUUCAGAGACGCUGUUGUAAUUCCUGUUUGGAAACCUGGACAUUUCUUGUUAUCUAAACCUUUGUCAGUCUCUCAGCCCUGGGCCAUGGAAAGAGACGACUGGUUUGGACAUCGAGGGCUUUCCACGGCAAAAGUAUGGCAUCGACUGUGGCAUCUCCAUGUUGAUGUAUGCCCUUUACAAAGUCAUGGAUGCACCCUUUGACUUCACUGUUACUGAUAUGCCAUCGUUGAGAAAAUGGUGGUGUAUCAUGCUGAUUGAAAAUCUUGACCUUGGAAGCCAUGGCAAACUCUUUGCCCACUGGACUGACACAUCUAAGGCUCUUCUUCGGGGUGAGGUGCCACCAGUUUUUAAACUGAAGAAGAGAAGGCGAGAUGACAUUCAUGAGGGGCCACUUGACAACAUUGUAGCUGGAGUUGCCUGGCUGCGUCAGAAUGCAGGUUUGCUCAGGGGGAAGGUGGUUGAGCCCGCAUUUCCGAAUAUCGACGCAAAAGAACAGCAGGAGCUCCUGAAAAGGAUCCGUUCUUCAACUGAUGAAGAAGAAAAGCAUCCCCUGCUCUUCACAUUUGAUUUUCAGGAAGACAUGGAGGUCUUCCUUAACAUGGCAGCUGAGGAGGAUCUUCGGGUCAACGCCAUGUUUCUGGGUCGCUGGGUGGACAGCCAGUGACAUUGCUGUGUGUGUGUGUGUGUGUGUGUGUGUGUGUGUGUGUGUGUG
Gadus morhua (Atlantic cod) is the source of this 949-nucleotide long non-coding RNA. RefSeq lists it as uncharacterized. The transcript is spliced from 9 exons. NCBI's taxonomy places the organism in Eukaryota, Metazoa, Chordata, Actinopteri, Gadiformes, Gadidae. The record is from RefSeq and is a predicted model, not a curated record.